This is a long non-coding RNA of Mytilus californianus (California mussel), 518 nucleotides long. RefSeq lists it as uncharacterized. The record is from RefSeq and is a predicted model, not a curated record. NCBI's taxonomy places the organism in Eukaryota, Metazoa, Mollusca, Bivalvia, Mytilida, Mytilidae. The transcript has 3 exons.
UUUUCUUUACUAACCAUACUAUGACAGUUUAUCUGAUGUCUUACUCAGGAAACAUGUUUUGCGGAAAUGAAAAUGAUCUUUUCUAUUCCUAUCGUUUACCGAUACAUGUCUACAUUCUUGAUAUGAUCAACACGACUCAUCAAAUAUAUCACGUUUGCGAUAGUGAACAUAAGUCCCCGAUGGUAUCCUCAGCUCAGUAGUCAUAACGUCGGUACUGACAUGAUGUAUAACAAACGUUUCUAAUAUUGUCCGUUUAUAAAUUUGGAAAUAAUUAUUGCAGUAACCGUUGAAAAUCAUAACUCUCCGAUAAAAUGACGAACAAUACAGAUUACACAUAUAUGUUCCAUAUCUACAGAGACUGGUAAAGGGGGGUGAGCUGAUCAAAACAAAGAGGGACCAAAUGAUUUCUAUUGUUUAGAAAAGGUGGAAAGACUGGGACAUUUCAGAGUAUACCUGUGGUAGAAGUAAACUGUUUUAAAAUGUCGGAAAAGUUACGACCAAGGCAUGAAUUAGAACAG